Molecule: ribosomal RNA, 468 nt
Filed under: uncultured bacterium
Lineage: Bacteria
Description: partial 16S ribosomal RNA
Rfam family: Bacterial small subunit ribosomal RNA
Source: RNAcentral
GACGAACGCUGGCGGCGUGCUUAACACAUGCAAGUCGAACGGAAAGGCCCUGCUUUUGUGGGGUGCUCGAGUGGCGAACGGGUGAGUAACACGUGAGUAACCUGCCCUUGACUUUGGGAUAACUUCAGGAAACUGGGGCUAAUACCGGAUAGGAGCUCCUGCUGCAUGGUGGGGGUUGGAAAGUUUCGGCGGUUGGGGAUGGACUCGCGGCUUAUCAGCUUGUUGGUUGGGUAGUGGCUUACCAAGGCUUUGACGGGUAGCCGGCCUGAGAGGGUGACCGGCCACAUGAGGACUGAGGUACGGCCCAGACGCCUACGGGGGGCAGCGGUGGGGAGUAUUACACAGUGGGCGGGAGCCUGAUGCAGCAACGCCGCGUGCGGGAUGACGGCCUUCGGGUUGUAAACCGCUUUCGCCUGUGACGAAGCGUGAGUGACGGUAAUGGGUGAAGAAGCACCGGCUAACUACGUG